RNAcentral lists this ribosomal RNA (294 nucleotides) under Triticum aestivum (bread wheat). RNAcentral describes it as "partial small subunit ribosomal RNA". Lineage: Eukaryota; Viridiplantae; Streptophyta; Magnoliopsida; Poales; Poaceae. The record is from RNAcentral.
AUGACGGACAGCCACGGGAUAUUACCACUCACCAUCGUCAUCCUUAUUCUAUUAUCACCAGACUUCCGAAAUGUCAGAGCGUUGGUGAGGGAGGAGGCUGACGUCACCACAGAUUACAACCAUUACACAUGCACCAAGGUCAUUGGCCGCCACUGCACCAUCCGCACGUGUAGGGACUCAUGCCAUAAGAAGCUCAGAGGCGUCGGCAACUGUCUUGCCGACGGCGAGUGCAGGUGCUCAUAUUACUGCAACACACCCCCUUUUACGACCAAGUCGUAUGAGACGCUCCAUUGA